GCUUGUCUCAAAGAUUAAGCCAUGCAUGUCUAAGUAUAAACGACUUUAUACUGUGAAACUGCGAAUGGCUCAUUAUAUCAGUUAUAGUUUAUUUGAUGGUUCUUACUACUUGGAUAACCGUAGUAAUUCUAGAGCUAAUACAUGCAUAAAACCCUAACUUCUGGAAAGGGUGUAUUUAUUAGAUGGAAACCAAUGCGGGGUAACCCGGAAUAUGGUGAUUCAUAAUAACUUUCGGAUCGAUUUAUCGAUGCAUCAUUCAAGUUUCUGCCCUAUCAGCUUUGGAUGGUAGGGUAUUGGCCUACCAUGGCUUUAACGGGUAACGGAGAAUUAGGGUUCGAUUCCGGAGAGGGAGCCUGAGAAACGGCUACCACAUCCAAGGAAGGCAGCAGG
Molecule: ribosomal RNA, 390 nt
Filed under: uncultured Chrysophyceae
Lineage: Eukaryota; Chrysophyceae
Description: partial small subunit ribosomal RNA
Rfam family: Eukaryotic small subunit ribosomal RNA
Source: RNAcentral